This 337-nucleotide unclassified non-coding RNA is filed under the name soil metagenome. RNAcentral describes it as "partial contains 5.8S ribosomal RNA, internal transcribed spacer 2, and large subunit ribosomal RNA". The stretch from base 1 to 120 matches the Rfam family "5.8S ribosomal RNA", at positions 35 to 154 of the family's 154-position model. The record is from RNAcentral.
GAUGAAGAACGUAGCGAAAUGCGAUAAGUAAUUUGAAUUGCAGAAUUCAGUGAAUCAUCGAAUCUUUGAACGCACAUUGCGCCCGCCAGUAUUCUGGCGGGCAUGCCUGUUCGAGCGUCAUUUCAACCAUCAAGCCCCCGGGCUUGUGUUGGGGACCUGCGGCUGCCGCAGGCCCUGAAAAGCAGUGGCGGGCUCGCUGUCACACCGAGCGUAGUAGAUUUUAUCUCGCUCAGGGCGUGCUGCGGGUUCCGGCCGUUAAACCACCUUCAUAACCCAAGGUUGACCUCGGAUCAGGUAGGAAGACCCGCUGAACUUAAGCAUAUCAAUAAGCGGAGGA